Tetranychus urticae (two-spotted spider mite) is the source of this 2419-nucleotide long non-coding RNA. RefSeq lists it as uncharacterized. NCBI's taxonomy places the organism in Eukaryota, Metazoa, Arthropoda, Arachnida, Trombidiformes, Tetranychidae. The record is from RefSeq and is a predicted model, not a curated record.
UAGAUGGAGUUGUUGAGGUUAAUGUGUCUAAUUGGUUAAUGUUAUAAUUUAAGCUUUUUUUCAGAUUUUUGCUUGAUUUUUUUAUCAUUUGUUUUUUUGCUGGUUUUACUUCUCAAGGUUAAUUUACCCGUAUGACCUCGAUGUGGCCUUUUGUAUUGGUUAUGCGUCGAUAGACAUAAAUACAUUAAUGGUUGACAAUCAACAGUUAAUAAUACAGUUUAUUACAUUUGAAGACAUUUUGGAUUUUUCUUGAGCUUUUCUUUCUGUUCCCUCUCUUUUACUAUGCAACACAAGGAAUUUGAACAACCAAUGAUCCGGGUUUUGUCAUUGAUUGAACCACCAUUAGGAUAGACAUCGGUCUGGCAAUGAAAAGGCACAUUAAUGAUGGUAAAUUUUAAUUAAUAAAUCAACACAACCAUUUUCCUGAGGUGAAAAAGUUGCAUCUUUUGGUUAUCCUGAUGUUGGUUUGAUUAUCCCCAUGUAAAUGUACGCAAUUGAAGACAAAGCGCCAAUUUGUAACCGAGUCACAAGUGGAGCUGGGCCAGUGAAGCAAGUGCUACAUUAAUGUUGAAACAAGGACGGGAAAUCCAAAUUGUUAUUUAUUAAUUGCUAUCAAUUGUACUUGAUGAAGCAAAUAAUGGCUGAGCAAAGGAAAACAAUUGAAAACAAUUGAUUAAAGCCACUCUAAAAUCAAUGGUGUUAAACUAAAUGGUAAUACUUUUAAUAAUACGUACUAAACAGGCUGUCAACAAAUUGUCAUCCAAUUGUCCUUCAAUGCCAACAAACCAAAAGAUGGAUAAAGAAAUGGAAACCAGAAAAAAAGGGAAAAAAAGCCAAGAAGAAAAGAAAGAAAAACCGUCAAUGAUUGACAAUUUACUUGGUGAUCAUUCAUUGGAUAAGAUGCAUUAAUCAAUCACCAUCAACAAUUUACUCUUGCCGUGACUAAGGUGAUCAUUCAAUUGUAAUAUUGGAUUAAUUAGUGGCAAUUACAAAUCAUGAUCCAAUUAAUAGGAAUCCCUGAGUUGUCAAUCGUCAACAUUUCAAUUUGACCAGUCAAACCAACAAUCGUCAACUCUAAAGUAUUUCAUCGAAAGGUUAACACAACCAGAUGAUGUUGACUGCAAUGAGCCCUAUGAUUAUGAGUAUGAUUAUAAUGGUGAUUAUGAUGGUUAUUAUGAUGGUUAUUAUGGUGAUGUAAAUGUUGAAAGUGAACAAGAAGAAAAAACAAUAAGUGAAAUGAUAUAAUUUCUUGUAUUCUUUUGUUUUCCAUUCAUUUCUUCAUCAACCAAAUAUUACAUUUGAGAUUUACAAUUUUUAUUUCUCUUGUCAUCAUCACCAUAAUCUGAAGAUAGGUUCAAAUUGAAACCAUUUUCAUCCUUAAAUUGUCCUGAAAAAUGAAUGAAAAUAAAUAAAAACCAUUUUCAUUCGUAUUUUCACUUGGUAUAGGUUGAGAUUGAAAAUAAUCAUAAUCAUAAUAAUAGCAACAAUAGUAAUAUUUAAGAUGAAUUUAACACUAAUCAUAAUUUUACUUUCAUUUAAUACUUAACUUUCCACUGUUAAGUGCUUCUUUCCCUGAUUAUUUCAACUCUCCUUUCCUCACAUAGCAAAAUGUUACUAUUAAAUGGUGACAAUCCUUUCGAUCCUUUACUCUCAUCUUCCUCUUCCCAUCCAACUUGGUAAUCUUAAAUCAUCACCCUUCAUCACUUGAUCAUCUCAUCCUUAUACCAUCAUCACAACCAUCAUCAUCACAUUUAUUGAGAGAGAGAGAAACUUUUGCUGAACCAAAAUUGUUUUAUCAAAAAACUUGUAGAAACAGAAGAAGAAGAUGAAAAGCUGAUGAAGAUGAAGGAUAAAGAAAAUGAUAAUCUUUGAGUUAAAAGAUGAGGUUGAUGAGGAAAAGACAAAGAUUAAAGUUGAGCAAAAGUGAAGCAAAUUUUGAGACUUUUACUCUUCACAUUUCAUGUUAAUGACAAUUGUUCAGGGUUUGAAACAAGAAAUGUUAUUACUUCUUACACAAGAAGCAAACUUUUAAUACAAUUUUUCUUCAAUCCGUACAAUAAUGUUUUUAUCAUCACCAUCACCAUCAUCAUGCUCAUCUUGAAUUACAUUUCAUACUUUAAUCCAACAGAGCGAAAUAAAAAAUUGAUGAAUCGUAAAUGAAAAUAGCUUAAACUGGAAAAACAAAAGUACGAAAAGAUGGAAAACUAGGAAACAACGAAAAACUCGAAAACUCUAACAUGUUAACACAUUAAGUCUGAUUGUCUAUCAGCUAAUCAUUACAAUCCUAAUCAUGUAAACUAAUGCAUUGUAAAUGAGAGAUGAACAUUAGCAAAAUAUAAUCAAAAUUGUGAUUCCAUCAACUUGAAUUUCCUGUAAUAACCAAUACAUGAUUAAUAAAACUGUUAAUUCUGUUGAUUCA